GAUGAACGCUGGCGGCGUGCUUAACACAUGCAAGUCGAGCGAGUGAGUUCUUCGGAACGAUCUAGCGGCGGACGGGUGAGUAACACGUGGGCAACCUGCCUCAUAGAGGGGAAUAGCCUCCCGAAAGGGAGAUUAAUACCGCAUAAAAUUAUCGAGUGGCAUCACACGGUAAUCAAAGGAGUAAUCCGCUAUGAGAUGGGCCCGCGGCGCAUUAGCUAGUUGGUGAGGUAACGGCUCACCAAGGCGACGAUGCGUAGCCGACCUGGGAGGGUGAUCGGCCACAUUGGGACUGAGACACGGCCCAGACUCCUACGGGAGGCAGCAGUGGGGAAUAUUGCACAAUGGGGGAAACCCUGAUGCAGCAACGCCGCGUGAGUGAUGAAGGUCUUCGGAUUGUAAAGCUCUGUCUUUGGGGACGAUAAUGACGGUACCCAAGGAGGAAGCCACGGCUAACUACGUGCCAGCCGCCGCGGUAA
Molecule: ribosomal RNA, 476 nt
Filed under: uncultured bacterium
Lineage: Bacteria
Description: partial 16S ribosomal RNA
Rfam family: Bacterial small subunit ribosomal RNA
Source: RNAcentral